UGCACUCCAGCCUGGGUGACAGAGCGAGACUCCGUCUCAAAAAAAAAGAGCACUCUCUAUCCUUUGAAAACUCACUGGAGAUUCCGGACAUAAGAACUGCUUCAUUUCUUUCUCUUGCCCAUUGGAAACAAGCUUUCUAGAAUACAUUAUAAUUAAAUUAAAUUGUACAGGUAUAAUGAAAAAAUUAACAGUGUUCCAUGGAGAUCUCUUCCAUGAACUCAUGCUUAUUUUUAAUAACAUCAGUAUCUUUAGGGAAAGUAAAAAUGUGAGCAACCAAAUGGGUAGGUUAGAGAGUGAGAGCAGGGGAGGAUGUGGAAUCCACACUGCUCACCCUGAGACGCUCUCGUGGCUUCAGCAGCGUGGCUCUGGCAGUGACAGCCCGUCGCACUGAACACCCUGCUUCUCCAAGGCGUGGAGUGACAGCUCAGUGUGACCAGACCACCCAGGUUAAAUGGCCUGCAUGCUGAGGCAUGGUGUUCUGGACUAUGGUCAGCCUUUGUUACACUCCUGAAACAUUUAUUUUAUUUUAUUUUAUUUUAGCUUAAAAAGCUGUAUGAAAUUAUUUUUUGUAUCAUGUCUAAAAAUGAAAUUUUUCUCAGUUAACCCCAACUGUACUAACUUAUUCAGAGAGUGCUGGUUUGUGGACUCUUCUCAUGUUUCUUGGGUGGUAUCUAUAUUUUAACCAUUUCUCAAAUCAUUAGCACCUUUAUUUUUAGCAUUUUUGGCAGGCCAAAAAUAUAGAGGAGAUAAAAAUUGAACUCAUUGGUUUAGAUGCAUCUUAAUAGUUCUAGCAAAAGACUCUUUGGAAAUUGGAUUUUAAUUAUAACUUGAAAUAUGAAUUUUAUUCAGUAUUUCUUGUUGAUAGCCAAGCACAUUUAAGGGGAAAAAAAUUGUUUCAGAUUUUUAGUCAUUCCUAUACAUCACCACUUCCCAUACUGAAAAUUUGAGAAACUACUUAGUACUAGUUCUAACUGAUCUUUGGCGAAGUUUGUGGUAUCAUUUUCUUUUUCUUUUUUAAAAUAGAGACGGGCUCUUGCUGUGUUGCCCAGGCUGUGCUCGAACUCCUGGCCUUAAGCAGUCCUCCUGCCUUGGCUUCCCAGAGUCGGGAUUACAGGCAUGAGCUACCACACCCAGCCUGACUAUCAUUUUCAAGCUAGAGCUGUAGCUGAAAUUCUGGGCUUGGUAAGCACUCAGCAUUCCUCAGUAACAGGACUACCUGUGGAGAAUUCCUUCAGAGCUGGGCAUGGUGGCCCCCACCUGCAAUCCCAGCACUUUGGGAGGCUGAGAUGGGCAGAUUGCUUGAGGCCCGGAGUUCGAGACCAGCCUGGCCAACAUGGUGAAACCUGGUCUCUACUAAAAAUACAAAAAAAAAAAAAAGAGCCAGGCAUGGUGGCAUGUGCCUGUAGUCCCAGCUAUUUGGGAGGCUGAGGCAGGAGAAUAACUUUAACUCAGGAGGCGGAGGUUGCAAUGAGCUGAGAUCGCACCACUGCACUCUAGCCUGGGCGACAGAGAGACUCCAUCUCAACAAUAACAACAACAAAAAAGAAGUCCUCCAGUUACCGAUGUGCUUUCAUUUUAUUUUCCAUUCUUUGGCUCUUAACUCUGUUAUUAGUUUAUAUAUCCCAGGCCCCGGUGGUAGUAACUACUUUACCCAGGCCUGUUCAGGCAUCCCUCACUGUCCAGCUUCUGUCCUUUCCACUAGGCCUAUAAAAUGAUCAAACUUUUUUAUAUGCACAAGUAUUUUCAUGUGUGUCCCCUCUGUCUUUGUCGUAAACGAAACUUUGUGUUUCUCCCAAACCUGUAUGUCGUGAGCAGACUUCUCGAAGGGAUCACUCACCACAGCUCACUGGGAACCUAGGUAGAAGGGUACCACUUCCAGACCAUUGCUCUCGCUGCCAUCAGCCUCACUUUUUUUUUUCACUGUUUACUACAAAACAAAGUAAUUUCAAGAUAUUUUUUAAAAUUGACGUUAAGAAGCUAGAUUAGGUAACUUCUUAUAAUAUGUGACAUUAAAUAUUUUGAGAAAUUCUUGGUUUCAUUGGAAGGCAUUUGUAAUGAUAAACCUUUUUUCAGUUAUAAUAAGAUACUAAGCAGAGAUAAUUUUGUCAUCCCAGAUAGCAAUUUCUUAUUAACAAUUGAUAAUAUUUGAACUGAAAGAGAUUCUUGGCUUUAUUUCUAUAUUUUUUUCUAUUUAGGUAUUUAACUUUUUUGACAUCCUCUUAUCCCCUCAAUAGGAUCCGAAAUAUGUCUAAAAUUAAUUCAAAAGAAAACUAUUUGAAUUAUUGCUUGUGUUUGAAAACAGUACUUACUGUAGUAUUCCACAGUUUCUUCUUUUUUUUAGGCUAAGACAAUUAAAUAAAAAUGUAAUGGAUAAGAAAUAUAGUUGAAGUCACAAUAAAGUAUAUUUUCUUUUAUGGACAUAAAACAUAAAUUUUAAAUGUUGGCUAUUUAAGAAAAAAAUUCUCCUGGUAAAUAUUAUGCAUAACCAUUGCUCAAAAAUGUAUACAGCUGUUUUCCAACAUAUUUAUAUACAUAGUGGUUCACUUAAGACCAGCCCUGUUAGAACCUUCUGAAUAUAAUGUGCUCUUAAUUUAUAAAUGGGCUACCCUCAGUGUAUAAAAUAUAUAGGCAUAUAUGUUAUACAUACAAAGUAAAAAAUAUAAAAAGGAAAGAUGGAAGAAAAAAGAAAGUAUCCUUUCCUAUAAGAUCCAGACAGAAAGUCAUUAUAAUUAGUGGGACCAUGGAAAAUAUUGGAAGGAUUUCAGUUUUGGCAAAUACUUUUCAGAAAAAUAUCCAAGCUAUGAGAACACUAAAUGUCUAUCUUAAUAAUUUAGUAGAUGUUUCUAUUCAAACAUUCAGUGAAGGUGUUUCCAUCUUCUACUAUGUAGAAAAGAAGACUUUUGGGGUGUCUGUUAAAAGCGAAGAGCUGCUCAUUUUUAACAGCAUUAAUCUGAGGUUCAAACCGCUCCAUUGUGACGGCGGAGAAAUCCUCAGGUUCAAGACUCCAUACGACGACUCCUUCUGCAGCCCCUGCCGCCAUGGCAGCACCCAAUGCAGUGGUUUCGGGCAUCAAGGGCUUCACUACUGGAAUAUACAGAAUGUCUGCUUGUAGCUGCAUAAGAAUUUUGUUGCUGGUCCUUCCUCCAUCAACCUGCAAAUGACUGAGUGGAAUUCCACAGUCUCAAUUCAUGGCAUCCAAAAUCUCUCGAAUAUGGAAACAAACAGCUUCUAAUGCAGCAAAAGCAAUAUGGCAUUUAUUGGUAAACUGAGUGAGUCCACAGAUUAUCCCUCUUGCGCUGGGCUCCCAAUAAGGUGCAUAUAACCCCGAAAAUGCUGGGACGAAGUAGCUGCCAUAAGAAGUACCUACUUCUUUAGCAAGUUUUUCAAUUUCUUCUGAGGUCUUUAUAAUUCCAAGAUUGUCUCUUAGCCAGCGAAUAACAGCACCAGCUAUAGCUACAGAACCUUCCAAAGCAUAAUAUACCGGUUUGUCUCUGCCAAGUUUGUAAGCCAUUGUGGUGAGAAGGCCAUGAUCAGAAAAUACACACUUAUGGCAUGUAUUACAUAGUAAGAAAUAUCCUGUUCCAUACGUAUUUUUGGCUUGUCCAAUCUGGAAACACAUUUGUCCCACCAGUGCAGCAGACUGGUCCCCUGAACACCCAGAUAUUGGCACACCUUCCAAGGCCCCAGCUUUCAUUAGGCCAUAGAUCUCAGAAGAACUCCGAACAUGUGGAAGAAUUUCCGUUGGAAUUCCAAAAAAUUCACAGAGUUGUUUAUCCCAUUCCAAAGAAUGAAUGUUGAAAAGCAUAGUCCUACUUGCAUUUGUUACAUCUGUACAGUGGACACCUCCAUUGACGCCUCCUGUCAAACUCCAAAUAAGCCAUGAAUCAAUAGUCCCAAAAAGAGCUCGUUUUUCUUCAACGGCCUUUUGAACUUUUCUCACAUUGUCAAGGAGCCAGCGAAGUUUCACUGCACUGAAGUAAGUGUUAAGUGGAAGGCCUGUCUUGGACUUGACAAAGUUAUUAUUUCCUGGAAUUCUCUUACUAAGACUCUCAACGGUAGACUGUGUUCUUAGUUCAAGCCACACCACAGCAUUGUAGAGAGGCUCUCCAGUUAUCUUGUCCCAGACUACAGUGGUUUCCCUCUGGUUGCUGACACCAAUAGCUUUUAUGUUGGAAAUACCAAUAUUGAGCUGUCCAAGUUUCUCACAUGUUUUCGCUAUACACUCAUAGACAGAAUGUAGAAUUUCCUUAGGGUCCUGUUCCACCCAUCCUUCUCUUGGGAACUCUUGUUUUAUUUCCACUUGAUGAUGACUAAGUAGUUCAGCUGUUCUUGAAUUGAAAACCAAAAAGCGCGUGGAACUGGUGCCCUGGUCCACUGCCCCCACCAAUGGCCCCAAAACUGCCUUUUUUGAGGCUGCCAUGAAACCAGCUUCAGGUCCGCCCGCAUUUGCGGCCGGUUUCCUGGGUGACGGCGGCGGGAGGGGGAGGGGCGAGUGAUGAGUCCAAAGAGCGAGGCCGCGCGAGUCCGCUGAACCAGCCUCACUUCUUUACUGGCUGGCUAGCAGGCUACUGCAUUCUCUCUGCAGCUCAUUUUCUCCCUUGGCCUCCAGGCAUACAUCUGUCUUUAACACUGAGAUUAUCUUUCCCUGUGUAUUUUGUUUCUCCUGCCAUAAACGCCUUCAGAAUCUAUACUGUUGGCUCACGUGAGACUCCUUCAUAGCUCCUUGUGACUAUCAUCUUCCCCCCACAAACCCAUUCAUCACCUUAGACUGCAGUUCCAGGGUCUGUUGGACCUUUCUGGUAUUUAGAACUCUGGGGUCCCCACCUUGGUUCGGACUAGAUGUGUGCCUUCUCAUUCUCUUGUAUUUCUUCAUAAAUCUGUGCUCUUUGGCCCUUGUUCUUCCAGCCAACUCUUGGCCAUUCAGCCUAGACCCAGUAGUCAGUCAUUUCAAAGCUAUUCUCUUUAUGUGCCUGGCAUUGCCCACACUGUUGUGUGUGAUAGAUAACAGGCUCAAUACAAUUUAACCCUUGCUUAUAAUCUAACUUUAUAGUCCAGUAACAAUAAACUCACACCCUAAUUAAGUAUAUUUGGAAUAUGCGUUAUUCUCUGUAAAACCAGUUUUUAUAACAGUUUCUUCUAUAGAAAAUUUACUUCAAUCAUUUGCCCACCUUUCUAUAAUUUAGGCUAGGAAUCACUGCUUGGAAUAAACAUCGGUUAGAAUAAACUCGAUUUGAAUGCCGCCCUCUUGAAA
Molecule: long non-coding RNA, 5251 nt
Organism: Homo sapiens (human)
Lineage: Eukaryota; Metazoa; Chordata; Mammalia; Primates; Hominidae
Exons: 2
Source: RefSeq, a predicted model, not a curated record